This 237-nucleotide long non-coding RNA is filed under the name Helianthus annuus (common sunflower). RNAcentral describes it as "sRNA HanXRQr2_Chr11g0518221". The record is from RNAcentral. Lineage: Eukaryota; Viridiplantae; Streptophyta; Magnoliopsida; Asterales; Asteraceae.
UUGGGUUAAAGUUUGCUACAAAAAUGGUAAAAGGAGAAGCAGGUUAAUUAAUGUAUUAUCUGAAAGUAAAAAACGGACAAUGGACAAGGGAUGAAGGACCCUGAUCAAGGCAUAGAGUCAUAGCAUAUCAUCUUUGUUCAUUGCACAACCCAUAAGCUUGACCCGUUAUUAACUUUGAUGCAGGUUCCCAUGAAAAAGGUAUUGAACCAUGUUGCUCUCUAAAGCUUCAACUGAUGC